This 2531-nucleotide long non-coding RNA is filed under the name Xyrichtys novacula (pearly razorfish). Lineage: Eukaryota; Metazoa; Chordata; Actinopteri; Labriformes; Labridae. The record is from RNAcentral.
GCCCCGGGCUGACUGAUCACAGGAAGGAGCAACAUUUUUGAAUUCAGGGGAGGAUUGAGUCACACAGUCCCAGCAUCAGGCACGAUGUGUUACCCGGCUUUGCUGUUUUUCACUCUUCCAGACCACUAUGAUUCAAAUGGAAUUUUAAUGGCAUACUUUGCUAAAACUGUAUCAUUGUCUCCUCCUAUUUGUCUCUGGGUUUGUCUCCCGCCUGAUAAUGCUCUUUGUGUUCAUUUCAGUGUUUGCUGAGCCGUUUCGACUCAGGUAUGUCGGUGGUCUGCUUACAGAGUUUAAGAAUGAUCCUCGUAGUCUCAGGAAUCUUACUGUGCUUUUCAGCUUUUGACCCAUUAACCUAGAAGCAGCCUAUUCUGUAUUUGCAAAUUCUACUAUCCAUGGUAGAGGGUCGAUCAGUUCUGCUAUACCAAAGUGAUUUUAUUUCCCUUGUAGGUUGUUCAUUUCAUUGAUUAUUAGAGCUAGAGAUACUGUCAAUUUUCUCCCCCAAUACUCAAUUCAAUUAAAAAGGCUUGGCUGAUACAGUGUGAUACAAGUACUUUUUUCUUGCACUGACUAACAUGACACUUUCUGCACCCACCAGCUGUUUGUUAUUGCCACACAGUAAUCUACUUGAAACUGGUUGUUUAGCACUGGACAGACUGGUUACUUUAUUGAUCAAAGGGACAGACUGAUUAAUCACUUGGCUGAUUAAUUUGGCCAAUUAACAACAUUGUGAUAUGAUCAUAACAGCAUCAGCCCUCAGAAGGCUGAUACCAGCAUUUUUGUCUCUAAAUCAUAAGACAUCUUUCUUAUCUUCCAUGAACAGCAUAUCAAGCCUCAAACAGUCACUGACUAGUGUUUUAAUAUGAUACCAUGUUAUAAUGUUUAGAAAUGACAGCAAUAUCGGCCAUGUUUAGCAAUCUCUAGCAUAACCCAACAUCUGUGUCUUUCCAUUGUUGCUAGGGCUGCACGAUUAAUCGAUUUUAAAUUUUAUUUUGAUUAUUUGAUUAUGAUGAUGUUAAAAAAUUUUAAACCGUGUGUAACUCCUUUAUGGCGCCGGUGUAUCUCCGGCCAAAACAACCUUUAUACGCAUGCUCUGUACUCUUCUUCUGUCUUUUGUGCAUUUCCUCAGCAGCGUUACAGCACUACUUACUGGCUUGGCAUAUGCACAACAUUGUUUUCAGUGGUUUCAUUUUGAGAGAUGAUAGUGAAACUUAUUAAAUUGAAGUUUGCUGAAGUUGUCACUGAAUAAAAACUCGAAAUCAAAAAUCAAGUUUUCAGAGAAAAAAAUCUGGAUUUCAUUUUUGGUCAAAUUGUGCAGCCCUAAUUGUUUCAUUAAAAAAUCAAUUUAAACCAUAUUACUCGCAAAGACAACCAUGUAUAAUCAGACUUUAAUAUGUAUUUAAUUAUAAAAAUGUGCAUGACUUUCUUUUUUAUAUUUUAACCCAAAUAUUUACCUCAUAAAAUUUUUCUUUCUUAACAGUUUUCGAUCGCUUGACAGAAAUCAAAGUCCUCUAACACAGCCAAAUGUUUUUCAAUCCAGGCCUGUUUUAUUAUCAAGUUUAGCAAUUUGUAUUCCAAUGGUUAGUACUAUUUAAUUCUAGUUUUUGUAAAAUGCCCCAAAAAAAAAGAAGCAAAAUAAUACAAUGUGAAAUCAGCAUCAUGUAUUAGCAAUCAGCCGAACUGCUCAUACUCAGUAUGAGCGCUGGCCAGUAAAAGACUGUGUUUGGUCGAUCUCUGAUUGGUAUAUUCAUCUGAUAUGAAUAUCAGUAUGGUGGCACUGGUAUCAACAUACUACAGAUAAAAUAAUCAAUAAACAGAUACUUUAACACAGCUGUGCACUUGACAUAACACAACACCAUAUCUCCUUCGCAGACACUGUAUCAUGUUGAGGGAAUUUUCCUUACAGCACAGCGAUGGUUAAAGAUAUUAAACACUAGAUUUGUUUAACUGUUACUAUUUCAGGUGGAUAGAAAUAUAGAAUUAGCCAUAUCCUUGACCUGUACUGUGGCACAUCAUGCUGCCAACAUGAAUUAAUAUGUCGGUGAAAACUCCAGCCAUUAUAACCUUUAGAAACAGAGGGAAAUUACAAUUCCUGUAUUAUGCAGGUAUUGACAUUCUCAACCAGCUGCCAGGCAUGGAUGAGUUGUAAUACCUUGAGGAGCUCACCUAUUUAUAUUCAUAGUCGUUCCCAUACAGGAGGGGGCAGUGCAGUGAACCUCUCUGCCUUCAGCCAGCACAGGGAUUCAGAGAGAAAAGCAUGGAUAAAGUGAAAGUUUAAACCCAGGGCUUAUGCACACAGAGACUGUAAUCCAGACAAAAUCUCCCUCCACUAUCCUUGACAAUCAACUUAAGGAGACGACCUUUAGAUAUACUUUCGGUCACAUACUCUACUGUCAAGGACGUGUAAAACAAGCAACUUAAUCAAUAGGUAAGGGUCAAAUCUGCAGCUUAAAAAAGUGAAAAAGAAAAGUCGUAGCUGAUUUAACACCAUCUGAAAUUUCACACAGUUCCUAGCAGGUUCACUGAAUGAUCGA